UAAUUACUAAGGAGUAGGUAGCAAUGCAAGUGGCAGAAUUUUUAGAAUCACUAGUACUCUUACCUGAUCUUCUUAUUCAAAGAGGCUAGUUGCCCGGCCGGCAGCUAAUUAGCUAGUACCUCCUCCAAUAACCUCUAUCGUUCACCUCCAGAUCUCGGCGGCUAGCUGGGUUCAGACGCCGCCAGCCCUCCCAAAUUAACCCCAGUCGUCGGCUCCUUCGCCAUAAGCAGCUGCUUUUGCUUUCACAUCUUGCAAGAUCAAAGCAACGGGAGCUCACUGCAACUGCAAGUAGUAUAUACCAUCCACACCACACCAUACCCAGCAGAGCAGAGAGGGCAUGGAUGUGGUGACGGGUGCGCUGGGCAAGCUCCCCUCCAUGCUGUUGGAGCUACUCUAGUUUACUUAAUGAGGAAUGUGAGUACUCUACCCUGUCUGUGAUGAGUGGAUUGUCAACCGUGCGGUGUGAUCGUGCGCUUGGUCUUUGAAUUGCAGGUACACGGGCGUCGAGUGUCGGCGGGGAGCUACCGUGGAGGUGCUGUGGCCGAUGGACCGUGCGGUGGACGGCGGUGAAGGGCAGCUGGGACCGGAGCUCGGACCGGGCGGCAGCUGUGGCGUCCAUUCCUGGAUCGAGGGCGCAAGCGGCGACGGGAGGCGGGUUUCUUGGUUUGCGCCACAAAACCAAGGAGGCGGACGGCGGUUGAAGACGCCAAGUCGUGGAGGCACGGGCGUUGGUCUCGGGACUGACGGAGGCGCCGGGCGUCGACGGCGUCUAGGGCCUCGCUGCGGGCGAGGAGGUGACGGGCGUCGGGCGACGUCUAGGGCCGUCAGGAGGCCGAGGCGGUAACGGCGUCUAGGGCCACGGCGUGGAGGCGGGAAUCUUCCCGCGCGUGAGGUUUUGGCGGUUUUCUCAAAACCGGCCACCUACCCGGGUUUCGCGGACCCUCCAAAACCGCAGACCGGAUCUUCGUCGACGUGGCGGCAUCGCAGCAAAGACUUCAAGUCGAAGAAAGAAGCUCCGCCGUCGAUCGAGGCUGUACAGUAGGGUGCUGCUGACCCGACCGGUCUGACCGGUCCCCUGGACCGGUCUGACCGGUCUGGCCGCAGUAGCCGGGUAUAAAUACCCCCCACCAGCCCGUGGCUGGUUGAGUCUCUUGAGUCUUUUGUUUUCUCUGGGUUUUUCCUUCUCCCUGCCCCUGUUCUAGGUUAGGGCCAAGGACUCCAACGCAAAGAGAGUUUAGAUUAUAGCUAUUCUCUUCAAUCUAGUGGGUGGAUGAUGGGCGGAUGGCUCUAGCUGUUGUAUAGGUGAAUUCCUCUGAGAUUUAAUAGAUAAAAUUUGUUUGUGAUUCAC
Molecule: long non-coding RNA, 1348 nt
Organism: Panicum virgatum (switchgrass)
Lineage: Eukaryota; Viridiplantae; Streptophyta; Magnoliopsida; Poales; Poaceae
Exons: 2
Source: RefSeq, a predicted model, not a curated record